Molecule: non-coding RNA, 20 nt
Filed under: Xenopus laevis (African clawed frog)
Lineage: Eukaryota; Metazoa; Chordata; Amphibia; Anura; Pipidae
Also listed under: 1 other name
Gene: xla-miR-34a-5p
Source: miRBase by way of RNAcentral
UGGCAGUGUCUUAGCUGGUU